Passer domesticus (house sparrow) is the source of this 1628-nucleotide long non-coding RNA. RefSeq lists it as uncharacterized. The record is from RefSeq and is a predicted model, not a curated record. The transcript has 2 exons. NCBI's taxonomy places the organism in Eukaryota, Metazoa, Chordata, Aves, Passeriformes, Passeridae.
AUCAGGUGACACCACUGCCCCUGCCAGGGUGGAUCCCAGUUAAUUGAGCUUGUCACCUCCCCAUCCCUGGCUCCUCUCAUUCAGAGCAGUCUGUAAAGGCACAGACCUUGCCAGCCAGAAGCACACUAUUAGUAGCACUGUUAUUAUUAGCCAGUCUUGUAUUUAUUUUUUAGGAAGUCCUACUGCUGGACUGCAGACCUGCCUGCAAUGCUCUUCCAAGGGGGGGCUGGGGAGGGCAGACUCCCCGGCACCAAACCCAUCAUUAAUCUAUUUUGAAAACAAGAUUGUGUUUUCCAAAUAGCACUGCAUGACUCGCUCCCAUUCUGCCAACACAUUUUUAUGGUGGUUUGGGAUUUUUAGGGGGUUUCUCGGUGAUGGGGGAGGAGCUUAAUGACUGAUAAGUGUACUAGUGUGCUUGCAGCCAGCCCGGAAUAGAGCCUGUGGAAUAAAACCCUCCUGCAUGGGCUGGGCAGCAAAGUUCUCUUAGGGCUGUAAUGCAUUGCAGCUGCAGAUGUGUCCAGUGCAGUAUGCAGCAGUAUCUGGAGGCAGCAGCAUCAGUGGCCCUGCCCAAGUGCAGGGGUCCCAGCUGUGUCCCUGCUGGGACUGAAGAAAGUCCCAGCUGCUGCAGGGAAAGGAGCCUUCCCCCCAGGACAGAGUCGGGCCGGCUCAGGAGAACGUGAGUGUGCUGCAAAACCAAUCUCGGGGACAGGCUACUGGGUGCUUCGCUCAUUUGGAACAGCAUUGUGCUUAUUCAUCUUUGUGCAAUGUCCCCUGUGAUUGCACACGGCUGCAUGCAAUACUGGGGAAGUUAGGAGAAAUUCAAUUAUAUUGAUUUACGGAAGAAAGAGACAAUAACAAAUGUAAUGGGUAGUUGCUAUUCCAUAUUUUAUCGUGAGCCAUUAAGACUUCGGGUUCUAAUAUCCUCUACCUUUAGAAUGAAAUUAAAACAAUCAUUUUCAGGGUGAGGUGCUUCUCCACGCGGAGCCUGGAGCUGCCAGCUAACCAAGCGUUGACACACAUAAAUCAAGACCUCCUCAAAUCUGGGUGCCCUCAGAUGCUUGCUGGAAAUCAACCAGAGAAGGUUCCUCUCAGUAAAGGUGCUUCUUGGUACAAAAGAUGCCGAGCAGGUUGCACACUCAUAUUGCACACCUAGUCAUGGGCUGCAUAAAUACACAGUGGCAAUCUGAGUCUGAGGAGGUCUCUGUUUAACAUCCAUGCUUCAAAGACCUAGCUUCUACUUAUUGUUUAGGAGAGCAGAGCCUACAGCAGGGAAAUAGAAAACUCUAAGUUAAGCUGAAGCAAGCAGAGAAUUGUACUGGGCUGUAGCAUGUUCCAGCUCCCAAUGACCAAAACCUGAUUGAUUUUAGGGGAGACCUGGGGGGGGGAAAAGGUUUUUUGAGAGAGGUAACAAAACCAAUCACCCAGAUCUUGAGGCUACCAGCUGAGAAAUGCCUGGCAUCUCCCACUGCUGGAUACACAUAUCACUAGAGGCAGCUUGAUGUGCUGCUGCUCUGACACCAGGUGUACAGCUCCCUUCCCACAAGGAAUAAAUCCCUGAGCCUCUCCUAACCAGCUUUCUUCCUCUGACUCACCUCUCAUCAGAUUUUGCAGUACCAUGAUGGUCCAGA